GUAUAUAGGUAUUUUCAUAAUACCUACUUGAUAUUUCAUGAUAAUUUAUUCGACAUCAAGUGUUGCCAAUAUUUUAACAUAAAAAGUCCCCCCUUUUUUUAAGCGAAAUUUGGUAUAUUUAGCCAUAGGAUGUGGAAAUGUGUGAUUAGGAUUAGGCCCACUGAAAAAGAUAACCUAGCUCAGCUAUCAGCUGAUUUUGACAUAUAGAAAAAUUAAAAAUGUGGGCUGUGGUAAAAUGUUGGAAAAGGCUAAUUGAAAUAAAAUUGUCUCAAUGAUAGUAGACUCACACUCGUAUAUUGAAGAUACUUGCAGAUGAUAACCAUGGAAAAUAAUCAAAUGAUGACUUUUCAAAGUGGUGAAAUCUGCACCACUAUGUUCCAGAAGUUAUUUGAGCAGAAGAAAGCUAGUAGAUUUUGUGAUGUUAAUCUGUUUGUCAACAACAAGAUAAUAAAAGCUCAUCGUAAUGUUCUAGCUUGCAGUUCACCCUACUUUGAUUCAAUACUCAAACAUCACAGAGUUGUAAGGGAACAGUUGACAAUAUCAUGUUUAGAUAGCGAAAUAUUCAAUAUGAUUUUGAAGUUCAUGUACACAGGAGAGAUUACAAUACAAUAUUCCAAUGUAGAAGAACUUCUGAAAUUAGCUGAUCAUUUCAUUUUAACCAAAGUAAUUGAAUACUGCAUAGAAUUCCUAGGAACCAAAUUGAAUCUAGAUAAUUGUUUAUUUACAUAUUUUUUGUCACAGCGUUUCAAGUUAAAACAUUUAGGAAAUAUAGUAGAGAAUUGGAUUUCUAGUCACAUAGAUGAAAUUUGUAAAGGGAAAGAAUUUUUAGGGCUAAAUUCAAUUGAACUGAUGGAAUUUUUCAGAAAUAAGAAUUUCAUCCUAACAACUAGCAAAGCCCUUAAUCUACUUUCCCAGUGGAUACUAGUGGAUUUGGAACGAAGAGAGAAAAAGUUUGAUAUGCUCAUUAAAUGCUUUCCUACUAAUAAUUUGGAACCCAUCGAAGUAUUCAAACACUUAGAUACUUGUACUCUAUACAACAAAAGUGAACUGUGUUUGUAUAAAUUUUUAGACUACUUGUUGAGAAAUAAUUGGAUGUUGUCUAAUUUUAAAACCCGCUAUGAUGUCUUACAGGCGAGAUAUGGUCAGAUAUCAUCUGAUAAGGGUACUGAUAUGGAUGCAAAGCAUGAUAAAAUAAUGAUUCAAGAAAAAAGUGAAUUUGAUUCAAUCCAAAAUAAUUUCAAUUCAGUAACAGUAAAAGCCAAACUGAAAAACAGAAAACAAUUGAUCCUCAAAAAGCUAAUGUUAUUUGGAUUAAAACCAAGUUUAAGAAUGGCCGCUUUGAAGAUGCUUGCUUGCAAGAAACAAAACAUAUCGCUGUCUGACAACGAGAAAGAAGAGAAUGAAGUUGAAGAUCCUGAUGAAAAAGUUGGUAUUAAAUGUCCUAUAUGCUUCACUACGAUAAAUGACAGUUUACUUCUUGAACAGCACCUUGCAUUAAGUCAUGCAAAAGAUGUUACAUAUAAGUGUGGACUAUGUUCUUUCGUUUGUCAGUAUCACGGAGAUUACCUAAAUCAUAUGAAGACCCACUUCUCUGGACCCCCUUUCAAGUGUGACUAUUCGGAUAUAUAUCGAUGUUCAUAUCCCCAUUGCAAAUAUACAACUUCUAAGAAAACUCAACUUGCUAGCCAUGCUAAAACCCAUAACGGUGUUCGUCCUCAUACUUGUGGUAUUUGUGGAAGGGGUUUUAUGGAGAAAUCUCAUCUUGUUCGUCAUGAACGUAUACACUUGGAAGAAAAACCAUUCAAAUGUUCAAAUUGUGAUUAUGCCAGCUCGAGAAGGGACAAGUUGAAGGAGCAUUAUACUAGGCAUCAUGGAGAAAACGCUUCAGCUAAAGUGCCAUACAAAGCCAGACCGUUACGAAAUAAUAAUAACAACACAUCUUCCAGACCAAAAUCACAGUCCUCUCAAGAAACAUCUCCUGGAACAACAGCUAAUGCAAGCAGUGUAAAUUUUACUCAAACGAACAGUACUACCGUGGCUCCUUCAUCACAGUCAAUGGGUUCAGAAAUACAGGAGUUGAUUAUGCAUCAUCAAAGUCAUUCUACUUCUGCUGCUACAAAUCUAACAGCAAUAAAUUCAAAUUGGUGAGCCCUCUGAAUUUCACCAUUCACAUAAUCAUGCCCACAAUAUCCAUAACCAAAUCAUUGGAGCCUCGAGCAACAACCAGCGUUCCACGACCCAACAACACAAUAAUAAUAUCGUCAACCAUCACAUGUUGACGUCGAGAACAAAUCCUGCAACUGCAACAUCGACAGCUGCUGCAGUUGCUGCAGCUAUGAUGUUGGACCCCAGAUUUCAUCAUGGGUCAACGGUGCCAUAUCAUCCUACCACCACUCCUGUGUCAAUGGCAAUGGCUGCUGUGCAAUCGUCUCAACAAAUUCAGGCAACUGGACAACCAACCGAAUAUACUCCUACUUUGCAAAAUUGCAUGACACUUUUCUAGUCAAAAAUAUAAUUGUCAUUUAUAUAAAAACAUUUUGUUAUUUAGUGUGUAUCAAUAUUAAUGCAAGUUUUUGUUAUUAGUCGAAAGUACAAAAUUGUGAUUCAUUUGAUAUAUUUUGUUAUUUAGUAUUUAUCAAUAUUAUGAUUGUUUGAGUUUUA
This 2661-nucleotide unclassified non-coding RNA is filed under the name Leptinotarsa decemlineata (Colorado potato beetle). RNAcentral's name for it is "zinc finger protein 583-like, transcript variant X3". The record is from RNAcentral. Lineage: Eukaryota; Metazoa; Arthropoda; Insecta; Coleoptera; Chrysomelidae.